CUCAUAGCCAAGAGGUAAGGCACGGGACUGCAACUCCCUGAGCGUUGGUUCAAAUCCGACUGGGUC
Molecule: transfer RNA, 66 nt
Filed under: human gut metagenome
Also listed under: 1 other name
Rfam family: tRNA
About the family: Transfer RNA (tRNA) molecules are approximately 80 nucleotides in length. Their secondary structure includes four short double-helical elements and three loops (D, anti-codon, and T loops).
Source: RNAcentral